ACAGGCCUUUUAAUCUGUUACCGGUCAAUCGAUGAACGAUACUCGAAGAGUCCUGGAUUGUCAACCCCAGUCUCUCAUUAAUAUUGUACAAUAUGUACAAAUUGUAAUGCCUUGAUACAGUUUUCCCAUUUUCUUCGCAGCCUGAAACAGCUGUGACACGAGAACAGCCAAGGCGAAGGUCGAUAGCCAUGUGUCACAAACACAACCCAGCCAAGCCGCACUGCACGCUUAAAACGGGAAUGUACACGACCAUGUCAACGUGCAUGUGCCCGGGCCGCCACAGGAGUCGCUAGAGCACGAUGGGACAAGGAAAUCCCGGCCGGCCAAACCCUCCCCCAACCCAGGCGAUUGGGGCCAAUUGUGCGGCGCCUCAUGGGUCUCCCGGUCGCGACACAGCCCGGUAUCGAACCAGGAUCUUUAGUAACGCAGCUAGCACAGCCUUAGACCACUGCGCCACUCGAGAGGCCCGAAUCCACUCAUUUGAAGGGGUGUCCACAUACUUUGCCACCUUAUGGGUACGUUUUACCAGACCAUCCACAUGCUUGGGCAUGGCAUCAAACCUGUCUACGCUUUUGAUGGCAAGCCCUCACAGUUGAAGUCACAAGAGGGGAGCAGGAGAACAUUGACAAGUUCACUAAGCGUCUGGUGAAAGUUACCCGGCAGCACAACGACGAGUGCAAGAAGCUGCUCACCCUAAUGGGGGUGCCAUACAUCAAGGCUCCAUGUGAGGCAGAGGUGAGCUGCACUGCUCUGGUUAAGGCGGUAGUCGCCACGGCAACAGAAGAUACGGACAGCCUGACAUUUGGAGCAGGGAUCCUACUGAGGCACCUCACCCCCAGCGACGCAAAGUACUACUGCAGUUUAUAUACCACCUUACCCAUCUUUCAUCCCAGUCAUACAGUUUAUCUAACAGUAUUAUAACAAUAGAAGCUGUGUGUGUGUGUUGUAUAUUUUGUUUUUGAGGUUACUUGUAACAUUUCUGUUUCUCUAUCUUAGGAAGCUUCCUAUCCUUCUGUGAGUUCACCUGUGUUGUGACUGUCAAACUUUGUAAGAGUUUGUAAUCCCAAUUCUCCAUAGUUUAAUUUGUUCCUCUUAAACACACACAUGCAUGACAGUCCCACAUAAUAAGCAGUCCCUAGUUUGAGAUCCAAACCGUCACGCAGCAGUUAUCCUAUUCCCAGAAGUCAGUGUGAGUGUUUGUCUCCUUGGCCCCUUGCAGAAGCACCCUGCCCCAGAGGACUGCCUGUAUAAGGAGUCCAGAGGUCUGUUCCUGCAGCCUGACAUUGUGGACUGCUCCACAGUAACCUCAAGUGGAGCGAGCCCAACAAGGACACCCUUAUCCAGUUCAUGUGUGCAGAGAAACAGUUCAAGUACAGGAUAGGAUCGACAUAAUAUAGUAUCACUGAGGUAAUAUUCCAACCCUUAUGGAGCCUCACUCUGAUUUAUUUGAGUAAAAAAUGGCAGGGAUGAAUCCUACAUUGACGUCAAUGCACGACGAAUGGGAAAUUUGACUUGGUGUAAAUAUGAGAAUAUACGCUUCAGUCACACUUUUGUAUUCUAAAUAAGUCGAUUUUAUUUGAAUGUGGCACUGUACUUUCCGACAAUGGCACUACUUUUUCACACGGUUGAAAUCCUGCUCCACAUGCACAUGAUGUUAAGCCAUGGUUGGUAUGAGUGAUAAAAAUGUCUCAUACUGUGAAGUGUGUUUGUGCACAGUGAGGACUGCAUCAAGAACAGCUGUAAGAAGAUGAUGAAGAGCCGACAAGGCAGCACACCGGAAUGACUGGACUCCAUUCACCAUCAUUGGCUCUCUGAGAGAGAAACCUAUACAUAUUCAAUGCAUUUCAGUGCCUUUAAACAGGGUAUAGUAGUAGGUGCCAGCCACACCGGUUUGAGUGUGUCAAGAACUGCAACGCUGCUGGGUUUUUCACACUCAACAGUUUCCUGUGUGUAUCAAGGACAUUCAGCCAACUUGACACAACUGUGGGAAGCAUUGGAGUCAACAUUCAACUCAAUAUUAGGAAUAUGUUUAGUACACUCAGUGUAUACCAUACCUCAUCUAUGUUUGAUUAAUAAAAAACAUUGUCCACACCAUACUGUAUCCAUAUUAAAAUAAUUCUCGCUACUUCCUCCUAUUUAUUUAGGAAUAGACUUCAAAGAGGAAGUCAACCAAGGAAAGAGGAAGUUGAGGAGUGUGCGUGAUAAUUAGACAACUACAAUUACAGUGUCUAGCCAAGUCUGUUCUUCAUGUUGAAAAUGUGAGAAUGGGGUAGUGGUUAACGUAUUCCAAUUAAACUAGCAAGUUUUAUUAACAUGCUUUUUUCUUGAAUUAAAGUAAUAGUGAAUUUUGUAUUUUGAUUUAUAUUUUUUCCAAAUCCCACAUGCAUUCCCAUUAAAGCCCGGAGAUAUAGGACGGUGAGAUGGUUCUAUUGACAAAAGCUUUGUUUGAUGCAUUUUUUGUUGUUGAAUUUUUCAUGACGGAAACAAAUUGUGGAAGGUUUAAUAGAAAGGGGAUUUUUCAAAUAUUAGCAUAUACACAUUUGCGUGCGCUGUUUCACAUCUGAUUAGGACGCCCAGCACAUAGCCUUUUAAAGCAUCCACUGUAAGGCCCAGUGCAGUCAAAAAUGUGGUUUCCCUGUGUUUUAUGUAUACAUUGAGUGUAUAAACAUUAUUAACACCUGCCUUUUCCAUGACCUAGACUGACAAGGUGGGUCCAGGUGAAAGCUAUGAUCCCUUAUGGAUGUCACUGGUUAAAUCCACUUCAAUCAGUGUAGUUAGAGGGGUGGAGACAGGUUAAAGAAGGAUUUUUAAGCCUUGAGACAAUUAAGAAAUGGAUUGUGCAUGUGUGCCAUAAAGAGGUUGAAUGGGCAGGACAAGAUUUAAGUGCCUUUGAAUGGGGUAUGGGAAAGGGAAAGGGGGAUACCUAGUCAGUUGUACAACAAUGCAUUCAACUGAAAUGUUCAGGGGCAGAAUGACAGAUUUUUUACCUUGUCAGCUCGGGGAUUCAAUCCAGCAACCUUUUGGUUCCUGGCCCAACGCUCUAAUGGUAGUAGGUGCCAGGCACACCAGUUUGUGUCGAGAACUGCAACACUGCAGGGUUGCACCCAAAAGACAUCUAACCAACUAGAUACAACUGUGGGAAGCAUAUAGAGUUAGCAUCCUUGUUAAUUGCUUUCGACACCUUGUAGAGUCCAUGCCCUGACAAAUUUGGGCUGUU
RNA transcript from Oncorhynchus gorbuscha (pink salmon), 3217 nucleotides. It is a transcript of the gene named flap endonuclease 1-like, with no coding region annotated. The transcript has 5 exons. NCBI's taxonomy places the organism in Eukaryota, Metazoa, Chordata, Actinopteri, Salmoniformes, Salmonidae. The record is from RefSeq and is a predicted model, not a curated record.